AGAGUUUGAUCCUGGCUCAGAACGAAUGCUGGCGGCAGGCUUAACACAUGCAAGUCGAACGCAUCCUUCGGGGUGAGUGGCAGACGGGUGAGUAACGCGUGGGAACGUGCCCUUCAGUUCGGAAUAACCCAGGGAAACUUGGGCUAAUACCGGAUACGUGCGAGAGCAGAAAGAUUUAUCGCUGAAGGAUCGGCCCGCGUCUGAUUAGCUGGUUGGUGGGGUAAUGGCCCACCAAGGCGACGAUCAGUAGCUGGUCUGAGAGGAUGAUCAGCCACAUUGGGACUGAGACACGGCCCAAACUCCUACGGGAGGCAGCAGUGGGGAAUAUUGGACAAUGGGCGCAAGCCUGAUCCAGCCAUGCCGCGUGAGUGAUGACGGCCUUAGGGUUGUAAAGCUCUUUCGUCCGGGACGAUAAUGACGGUACCGGAAGAAGAAGCCCCGGCUAACUUCGUGCCAGCAGCCGCGGUAAUACGAAGGGGGCUAGCGUUGUUCGGAAUCACUGGGCGUAAAGGGCGCGUAGGCGGCUUUGUAAGUCGGGGGUGAAAGCCUGUGGCUCAACCACAGAAUUGCCUUCGAUACUGCAUGGCUUGAGACCGGAAGAGGUUAGUGGAACUGCGAGUGUAGAGGUGAAAUUCGUAGAUAUUCGCAAGAACACCAGUGGCGAAGGCGGCUGACUGGUCCGGAUCUGACGCUGAGGCGCGAAAGCGUGGGGAGCAAACAGGAUUAGAUACCCUGGUAGUCCACGCCGUAAACGAUGAAUGCCAGCCGUUGGCGAGCUUGCUCGUCAGUGGCGCAGCUAACGCUUUAAGCAUUCCGCCUGGGGAGUACGGUCGCAAGAUUAAAACUCAAAUGAAUUGACGG
RNAcentral lists this ribosomal RNA (861 nucleotides) under uncultured bacterium. RNAcentral's name for it is "bacterial SSU rRNA". It matches the Rfam family "Bacterial small subunit ribosomal RNA", at positions 8 to 916 of the family's 1533-position model. The record is from RNAcentral.